GAUGAACGCUGGCGGCGUGCUUAACACAUGCAAGUCGAACGAAGCAGCAUGGAACGAAUCUUCGGAGGAGGGAAAUGGUGACUGAGUGGCGGACGGGUGAGUAACGCGUGGGUAACCUGCCUCGUACAGGGGGACAACAGUUGGAAACGACUGCUAAUACCGCAUAAGCGCACGAUACUGCAUGGUAUUGUGUGAAAAACUGAGGUGGUACGAGAUGGACCCGCGUCUGAUUAGCUGGUUGGUGGGGUAACGGCCUACCAAGGCGACGAUCAGUAGCCGACCUGAGAGGGUGACCGGCCACAUUGGGACUGAGACACGGCCCAA
Molecule: ribosomal RNA, 324 nt
Filed under: uncultured bacterium
Lineage: Bacteria
Description: bacterial SSU rRNA
Rfam family: Bacterial small subunit ribosomal RNA
Source: RNAcentral